GAUGAACGCUGGCGGCGUGCCUAAUACAUGCAAGUCGAGCGAACGGACGAGAAGCUUGCUUCUCUGAUGUUAGCGGCGGACGGGUGAGUAACACGUGGAUAACCUACCUAUAAGACUGGGAUAACUUCGGGAAACCGUAGCUAAUACCGGAUAAUAUUUUGAACCGCAUGGUUCAAAAGUGAAAGACGGUCUUGCUGUCACUUAUAGAUGGAUCCGCGCUGCAUUAGCUAGUUGGUAAGGUAACGGCUUACCAAGGCAACGAUGCAUAGCCGACCUGAGAGGGGGUUCGGCCCCACUGGAACUGGAACACGGUCCAGACUCCUACGGGAGGCAGCAGUAGGGAAUCUUCCGCAAUGGGCGAAAGCCUGACGGAGCAACGCCGCGUGGAUGAUGAAGGUCUUCGGAUCGUAAAACUCUGUUAUUAUGGAAGAACAUAUGUGUAAGUAACUGUGCACAUCUUGACGGUACCUAAUCAGAAAGCCACGGCUAACUACGUG
RNAcentral lists this ribosomal RNA (497 nucleotides) under uncultured bacterium. RNAcentral's name for it is "partial 16S ribosomal RNA". It matches the Rfam family "Bacterial small subunit ribosomal RNA", at positions 28 to 507 of the family's 1533-position model. The record is from RNAcentral.